Bombus pyrosoma is the source of this 286-nucleotide long non-coding RNA. RefSeq lists it as uncharacterized. Lineage: Eukaryota; Metazoa; Arthropoda; Insecta; Hymenoptera; Apidae. The transcript has 3 exons. The record is from RefSeq and is a predicted model, not a curated record.
CGAAGUUGUUCGUUUGGCGUAGUUCGUAAUAAUCCACAGAUUAUUGGUUUCAAAUGGUCUUUAAAACCAAUAUGCAUUGACUGUGAGUGACUGUGUACCUAUUGAGUGAAGUGAAAUUAUCUCACAACUGGAUAAUGCAAGAGCACUUAGCAAACUGUACAAUUUCAAAUUACCUACGAUCGGUCCUCGAAAAACGGAUGAGAGGACAAUAGAUACGGGUAGGACAGGAGACAAAAGCCUGCAUCUAAGGGAUCAAUUGGUUGGAAAAUUCGAGCAAUGGAGCCGG